UCCCCCCGGUACAUAGUUGUAUAUUUUUAGUUGUGGGUCCUUCUGGUUGUGGCAUGUGGGAUGCCACCUCAGCAUGGCCUGAUGAGUGGUGCCUUGUCUGCGCCCAGGAUCCGAACCAACAAAACCCCAGGCCGCCGAAGCAGAAUGUGCGCACUUAACCACUGGGCCAUGUGGCCGGCCCCCCAUAGGUCUUUCUUGUCACUUCCUAUGCUCAAGGCAAGAAGAAAAGAAAAGUGCCAAGUUUUCCCCAGAUGCAUCUCUCUUUUUCUCAAGAAAGCAAGAGCUUUCCCAGAAACACUCCAACCAGACUGUAUGGUUUAUUUACCAUUUUGUUCCCAGCCCUUAGCAGAAUGCAGCACCCAGCAAGGGAUCACUAACUGUUAUGAAAUUAAUCCGUGAAUGAAUGUCUUACAUCAACCACGCCAUGUGAAUAAGACUCUGGCCUUAGAGGAAUUCAGAUCAGAGGGGAGAUAAAUAUAAAAUCAAAAUACAAAGCAAUCAGAAAGCUCCCACUCUUCUUUGAAAGAGAAAACAAUCGCAAGGAAGAUAGUCCAGUGAGACUUGUUUCAGUGUUUUCCUUGCUUGCUAGUAGUUUAAAACUGACAAAAGGGGCUCUAAUGGUACACAUUUGAUGACAGUUGCUUUCAAUUAAGUGAUAAUAGUAAACAUAAAAUAAGUGAUCAAUAAGUUGUCGUGGAGGUUUUCCUGGUGAAAUCUCAAAACACAUACAGAAAAAAAAAUAUUAAAUGUUCCCAGGGAGAAAAAAACUGGAAGCUUGUUAGAAAUGCACAAUCUGAGGCCCCAGGCCAGACCUCCUGAAUCAAAAUCUGUAUCGUUUUUAUUCAGAUGUAAAUAUAGUUUUAUUUAUAUUCUUAAACAGCAUCAUAUAACACAUGAUGGUUGCUUUUUUUUUUUCCAGUGCUGGCUUUUUUCUUUCCUUUCUUUUUUUUGAACAUUUUAAAUUUUUCAAAAUCUGUACUUUAGCAAGAUGCCCCAGGUGAUUGUAAUGUGCACAUCUUUCCACCUUUCCUUCUCCACCAUCAAUGUUUCUUAGUUAUACUAUUGUAUAAUAAGUGUUCUGUUCUUUUACAUAAUCCUACCAAGGACUCUCAAAAUUAUUAUUAUAAUUUUGUGCAUGUCACUUAUACAGAACCAAGUGGUAUGACUUGAUCCAAGGUGAAGGAAAUGUAAUACUCUAUAUCCACACUAUUGCCAUUUGGGGCCAGAUGGUUCUUUGUGGUGGAGGACAGCCCUGUGCAUUACAGGAAGUUAAGCAGUAUUCCUGGCAUCGACUCAUUAGAUGCCAGUGGGAAUCCCCACUCCAGUUGUGAAAACCAAAAAUGUUCCCAGACAACACCAGAUUCUCCCAGGGAGCAGAGUAGUCCCCUGCUGAGAAGCAAUGGUCCAGUGGAGACUUUGCCCUUUCACUGAGAAUCUUCAAAGCAGCUUCCCUUAAUUUCUUUCUAGCUCUUCUUUUACUUCUCGGUUUAUAUCCAGCUGCCACUAUUCAUUGUAUUUUAUGUCAUUCUCUGUAUUUGGAUUUGUUUUUUAUUUUGCUAUUGUGUCUCCUUGAGUGAUCUUUUAAAUAAAGGGUGUGUGGAUGGUAAACUUUCUGAGUUCUUCCUUGUCCAAAAAUUUCUCAGCUUGGCUCUUACUACUGAGUGCUAGUUUGGCUGCAUAUAGAAUUCUGUAUUCAGUAUCCCUUCCCCCAGAACCUUGAAAACCUUGCUUUACUGGCUCAUGCAUUGUUGCUAAUGUGAAGUCUGAUACCAACAUUAUCAUUCCUUAUGUAUUUGGGUGUGAAUCUGCUAUCUCACUGUAGGUUGAGUUAUAUGAAAUUGCCGCUCUUGGACCAUUUUUUCCUACCAACCAACAGUUUUAUGUGGCUCGGUCUGAUAUUUGCCUUCUAUUUGUCUUGCUUGUUCUGAACGUCCCUUUCCCUUCUUGGCCUCCUUCUUCUGGAUUAUUU
Molecule: long non-coding RNA, 1969 nt
Organism: Equus asinus (donkey)
Lineage: Eukaryota; Metazoa; Chordata; Mammalia; Perissodactyla; Equidae
Source: Ensembl